UAAGUAUAUAUGCAUAGGUUUGUCUUUAUGAAUAAUUAUAUGCUUAUAAACCAUACAACUUCAGCAGAAAAUAUAAACUUUCUUGAAAUUUAACUAAUGGUUAAUAUUUUUCCUUAUUCUGAUGGGUUAAUGGGCAGAGUAUACAAGCAUUGAGGAACCAAGACAGUACUGAAGCAUGAAACAAGAGCAUCCAAGCAUCCAUGUCAAGGCCCCUAAUUAGCAUCCUGUGUUGGCUUUCCAAAGCUGGUUGGAAGGAUAAGAGUAAGAGGCCAGGAAAUAAACAGAAACCUUUUCAAUUUGGUCUAAGGGUCAUACUAUGUUUAUCACUGGGUUUCUUUACUGCAGUAUGAUCUACUGUUGUGGUUUGACUCCAGCCAACAUCUGAACACUGGGAUUCUCUCACUUGCUCCCCUCUCCCGUGGGACAAGGAGAAAAUAGAAGGAAGACAGGAAGACUUGCGGAUUGAGAUAAAGACAUUUUAAUAGGUGAAGCAAAAGCCGUGUCUGCAAACAAAGAAAAGAAGGAAUUUAUUCACUGCUUCCUGUCGGCGGGCAGAUGUUUAGGUACUACCUGGAAAGUGGGGUCUCAGCAUGAGUAACCAUGGCUUAGAAAGAUAAACGUCAUGAUCAGAAAGGCAACUGCUGUUAAGGCAAUGCCAAAAAAGAGAAACCAGAAAUCCUCCCAACCAGAGGUCACUGUGGAGAUCUAAUUUCCAACAUAAACACCUCUUCUGCCAAUGCAAAAAAUGGUUAACUUUAGCAAAAUCAAGGACUACACCUUACUGUUGUUCCCUCUUACUUCUGGCUUCCUGAGUAAGUGGAUGGCUGGUUUGAGAGGAAAGGAGCAAUGCUAACCUGUAGCUGGUCAGUUCUUUAUUUAGCCUGAUGAAGGACCUCUAACUUUUGUCUCAUCUGAUGUAAUAAAUGUUCAGCUUGAGUGGAGAAAGCCA
RNAcentral lists this long non-coding RNA (949 nucleotides) under Calidris pygmaea (Spoon-billed sandpiper). Its description in RNAcentral is "lncRNA (ENSCPGG00000002481.1)". Lineage: Eukaryota; Metazoa; Chordata; Aves; Charadriiformes; Scolopacidae. The record is from RNAcentral.